RNAcentral lists this ribosomal RNA (1908 nucleotides) under Triticum aestivum (bread wheat). Its description in RNAcentral is "partial small subunit ribosomal RNA". The record is from RNAcentral. Lineage: Eukaryota; Viridiplantae; Streptophyta; Magnoliopsida; Poales; Poaceae.
AUGUCGGCGGCGGUGGGCGGCGCCGAGUUCCACGGCUUCGGUGGCGCGGCGCAGCUCCCGCGGUCCCGGAUGCUCGGCAGGCCCGUCAGGGUGGCGCCGCCAGGGGCGACACCCGCCGGCAGCGGGCCCUCGGCGGCCAGCAUUCGCGCCGUCUCCACGCCUCUGAAGAAGGAUGCAAAAGAAGUUAAGCGAAGCAAGGUGGAGAUAAUCAAGGAGAAGAGCAAUUUCCUUCGGUACCCGCUGAACGAGGAGCUGGUCUCAGAGGCUCCCAAUGUCAACGAGACUGCUGUCCAGCUCAUCAAGUUCCACGGAAGCUACCAGCAGAGCGACCGGGAAGUUCGUGGGCAGAAGAACUACUCGUUCAUGCUCCGGACAAAGAAUCCUUCCGGAAAAGUUCCGAACCAGACUUACUUGGCCAUGGAUACACUGGCCGAUGAGUUCGGGAUCGGAACGCUCCGUCUGACAACCAGGCAAACAUUUCAGCUGCACGGCGUUCUUAAGAAGAACUUGAAGCAUGUCAUCAGCACUGUGAUAAAGAAUAUGGGAUCAACCUUAGGUGCCUGUGGAGACCUCAACAGGAAUGUGCUUGCGCCUGCGGCGCCAUAUGUGAGAAAGGAUAUCCUUUUUGCCCAAGAAACUGCUGAGAAUAUUGCGGCACUUCUUGCGCCACAGUCGGGGGCUUAUUAUGAUCUGUGGGUGGAUGGAGAGAAGAUAAUGUCAGCGGAAGAGCCUCCUGAGGUCACCAAAGCCCGGAAUGACAACUCACAUGGAACAAACUUCCCUGAUUCCCCUGAACCAAUCUACGGGACCCAGUAUCUGCCCAGGAAGUUCAAGAUUGCGGUCACAGUUGCUGGUGAUAACUCUGUUGAUAUUCUGACCAAUGACAUCGGUGUUGUUGUUGUUUCAGAUAGUGCUGGGGAGCCUGUUGGCUUUAACCUCUAUGUUGGAGGUGGCAUGGGAAGGACACACCGAAUAGAAACCACAUUCCCUCGUCUGGCUGAUCCACUUGGAUAUGUUCCUAAGGAGGAUAUAUUAUAUGCUAUAAAGGCAAUCGUUGUCACUCAGAGGGAGAAUGGAAGAAGAGACGACCGCAGGUAUAGCAGAAUGAAGUAUCUGCUUGACAGCUGGGGUAUUGACAAGUUCCGGGCUGAGGUUGAAAAAUACUAUGGAAAGAAGUUUGAAGAUUUUCAUCCAUUGCCAGAAUGGCAAUUCAACAGCUACCUUGGCUGGCAGGAACAGGGCGAUGGUAAAUUAUUCUAUGGAGUGCAUGUUGAUAACGGUCGUCUUGGGGGGCAAGCAAAGAAAACUCUGCGAGAGAUAAUUGAGAAGUAUAGCUUGGAUGUUAGUAUUACUCCAAACCAGAAUCUUAUCUUAUGUGGGGUUGAUCAGGCAUGGAGAGAACCCAUAACUGCAGCUCUUGCUCAAGCUGGCCUGUUGGAACCAAAGGACGUUGAUCUCCUGAACAUAACCUCCAUGGCAUGCCCUGCCUUACCUCUGUGCCCUCUAGCACAAACAGAAGCUGAGCGAGGGAUCCUACCGAUACUUAAACGAAUUAGAGCAGUUUUCGACAAGGUUGGCAUCAAGGAUGAGGAGUCUGUAGUGGUGAGGAUAACUGGCUGCCCCAAUGGAUGCGCCAGACCAUACAUGGCAGAGGUUGGCUUUGUUGGUGAUGGCCCAAACAGUUACCAGAUUUGGCUUGGAGGAACACCAAACCAGACCACGUUGGCAGAAACGUUUAUGAACAAAGUGAAGCUACAAGAUAUCGAGAAGGUUUUGGAACCACUGUUCUCCUACUGGAAUAGCACACGCCAGGAAGGCGAAUCUUUUGGGAGCUUCACAAACCGAAUGGGAUUUGAGCAACUGAAGGAGGUGGUGAACAAGUGGGAGGGGUCAGCGUCAGCCGCAUGA